RNAcentral lists this ribosomal RNA (497 nucleotides) under uncultured bacterium. RNAcentral describes it as "partial 16S ribosomal RNA". It matches the Rfam family "Bacterial small subunit ribosomal RNA", at positions 28 to 507 of the family's 1533-position model. The record is from RNAcentral.
GAUGAACGCUGGCGGCGUGCCUAAUACAUGCAAGUCGAGCGAACAGAUAAGGAGCUUGCUCCUUUGACGUUAGCGGCGGACGGGUGAGUAACACGUGGGUAACCUACCUAUAAGACUGGCAUAACUCCGGGAAACCGGGGCUAAUGCCGGAUAACAUUUAGAACCGCAUGGUUCUAAAGUGACAGAUGGUUUUGCUAUCACUUAUAGAUGGACCCGCGCCGUAUUAGCUAGUUGGUAAGGUACCGGCUUACCAAGGCAACGAUACGUAGCCGACCUGAGAGGGUGUUCGGCCACCCUGGAACUGAGACACGGUCCACACUCCUACGGGAGGCAGCAGUAGGGAAUCUUCCGCAAUGGGCGAAAGCCUGACGGAGCGACGCCGCGUGAGUGAUGAAGGUCUUCGGAUCGUAAAACUCUGUUAUUAGGGAAGAACAAAUGUGUAAGUAACUGUGCACGUCUUGACGGUACCUAAUCAGAAAGCCACGUCUAACUACGUG